This is a non-coding RNA of Cricetulus griseus (Chinese hamster), 72 nucleotides long. Lineage: Eukaryota; Metazoa; Chordata; Mammalia; Rodentia; Cricetidae. The record is from Rfam.
GAGGAUGUGGCUCAGUUGGUAGAAUACUUGCCUAGCAAGCAUGAAGCCCUGGGUUCAGUCCCCAGCACCUCA